Molecule: ribosomal RNA, 253 nt
Filed under: uncultured bacterium
Lineage: Bacteria
Description: partial 16S ribosomal RNA
Rfam family: Bacterial small subunit ribosomal RNA
Source: RNAcentral
UACAGAGGUCCCAAGCGUUGUUCGGAUUCACUGGGCGUAAAGGGUGCGUAGGCGGUCGGGUAAGUCUGAUGUGAAAUCUCACAGCUUAACUGUGAAACUGCAUUGGAUACUAUCCGGCUAGAGGAAUGGAGGGGAGACUGGAAUACUUGGUGUAGCAGUGAAAUGCGUAGAUAUCAGGAGGAACACCGGUGGCGAAGGCGGGUCUCUGGGCCGAUACUGACGCUGAGGAGCGAAAGCGUGGGGAGCGAACAGG